Molecule: ribosomal RNA, 735 nt
Filed under: Weissella paramesenteroides
Lineage: Bacteria; Bacillati; Bacillota; Bacilli; Lactobacillales; Lactobacillaceae
Description: bacterial SSU rRNA
Rfam family: Bacterial small subunit ribosomal RNA
Source: RNAcentral
CAUGCAAGUCGAACGCUUUGUCUUUAACUGAUCUGACGAGCUUGCUCUGAUUUGAUUUUAUCUGACAAAGAGUGGCGAACGGGUGAGUAACACGUGGGUAACCUACCUCUUAGCAGGGGAUAACAUUUGGAAACAAGUGCUAAUACCGUAUAAUACCAACAACCGCAUGGUUGUUGGUUGAAAGAUGGUUCUGCUAUCACUAAGAGAUGGACCCGCGGUGCAUUAGCUAGUUGGUAAGGUAACGGCUUACCAAGGCAAUGAUGCAUAGCCGAGUUGAGAGACUGAUCGGCCACAAUGGGACUGAGACACGGCCCAUACUCCUACGGGAGGCAGCAGUAGGGAAUCUUCCACAAUGGGCGCAAGCCUGAUGGAGCAACGCCGCGUGUGUGAUGAAGGGUUUCGGCUCGUAAAACACUGUUAUAAGAGAAGAACGGCACUGAGAGUAACUGUUCAGUGUGUGACGGUAUCUUACCAGAAAGGAACGGCUAAAUACGUGCCAGCAGCCGCGGUAAUACGUAUGUUCCAAGCGUUAUCCGGAUUUAUUGGGCGUAAAGCGAGCGCAGACGGUUAUUUAAGUCUGAAGUGAAAGCCCUCAGCUCAACUGAGGAAUGGCUUUGGAAACUGGAUGACUUGAGUGCAGUAGAGGAAAGUGGAACUCCAUGUGUAGCGGUGAAAUGCGUAGAUAUAUGGAAGAACACCAGUGGCGAAGGCGGCUUUCUGGACUGUAACUGACGU